AUACGGAGGAUCCGAGCGUUAUCCGGAUUUAUUGGGUUUAAAGGGUGCGCAGGCGGCGAUUAAGUCGGCGGUGAAAAUUUGUAGGUCCACUGGAAGAGGGCCUUUGAGACUGGGUAAUUUGAGGGAAGAUUAAGAAAGAUGAAUUUGUGGUGGCGCGGUGAAAUGCAUAGAUAUUACGAGGAACUCCGAUUGCGCAGGCAGCUUACUAAACUACUACUGACGCUCAGGCACGAAGGCGUGGGGAUCAAACAGGAUUAGAUACCCUGGUAGUCCACGCAGUAAACGAUGAUUACUAGCUGUUUGCGAUACAAUGUAAGCGGCUGAGCGAAAGCGUUAAGUAAUCCACCUGGGGAGUACGUUCGCAAGAAUGAAACUCAAAUGAAUUGGCGGGG
Molecule: ribosomal RNA, 392 nt
Filed under: uncultured bacterium
Lineage: Bacteria
Description: partial 16S ribosomal RNA
Rfam family: Bacterial small subunit ribosomal RNA
Source: RNAcentral